AAAAAAGAGAACUCUGCAUUUUUAUUUUUUAAAAAAAUGUUAGUGUUAGACUCCGUAGGAGGCAACUCAAUCUUUCGAUCUCGAGGCGGAGCGGCCUCUUGCUGUAGUGGGUCCACGGGCUGCAGGGGGAGAGCCGGGGCUGGACGAGGCGCCAAGCGGCCCUGGGUCUUCGGGCUCCCAAGGUCAUUGUGUGAACCUGGCCGAGCCUCCCAGCCGCGCGCGCGCGGGGCCGGGGCUUCCUGGGCUCCGUCUCCGGGAUUGUGCGCGCGUGCCUACUGCACGCAGGUCCAGCGGGGAAAAGAGCUUGGGGUGCAGCAGGGGAACCCAAUAUGUGUGCCUGCGUCUGGGUGCUCGCUGCUUACCACAGCCCGCUCCCCCCGUCGCCAAACCCUGGCCUUCCUUCCCAGCCCUGGUAGGUGGGCCCCUACCAGGAAGUUGUCUCAGAAAUUCCACCUGACCUCAGAGCUGCCUUCCUCCAUCUAACCCUGGGUUCUUGCUCCCCAUCCUGGGAUCUCCCUUCUCCUGUAUCCAGACCCUAGGCUCCCUCUUAUAUACCAGCUAUGGGAACCUGCC
RNAcentral lists this long non-coding RNA (573 nucleotides) under Phascolarctos cinereus (koala). RNAcentral's name for it is "lncRNA (ENSPCIG00000029055.2)". Lineage: Eukaryota; Metazoa; Chordata; Mammalia; Diprotodontia; Phascolarctidae. The record is from RNAcentral.